This 28-nucleotide small RNA is filed under the name Bombyx mori (domestic silkworm). RNAcentral's name for it is "ovarian small RNA-28674". The record is from RNAcentral. Lineage: Eukaryota; Metazoa; Arthropoda; Insecta; Lepidoptera; Bombycidae.
UCGCCAUUUUUGUCGGGCUUGCAAUUGU